UUUGAUCACACGCCGAAUCCUGCCGGUGAUCGGAGGCACUUGACGCGCAAGCGCCGAAGGCAGGAGCGGGGGACCCAAGGUACGUGCCGGCCCCACCCGUGAAAGCGGGUCCACCGGCUUGGGGUGAAGCCACGUGCGCCACGCGCACGCGGCCGGGCGAUUUCUCACAGCCCGAACCCGACAGCUCACCUCGUAGGCGUCGGUGAGGAAACGA
RNAcentral lists this small RNA (214 nucleotides) under Streptomyces decoyicus. RNAcentral's name for it is "c-di-AMP sequence". It matches the Rfam family "c-di-AMP riboswitch aptamer (ydaO/yuaA leader)". Rfam says of the family: This family represents a conserved RNA structure found upstream of the ydaO and yuaA genes in Bacillus subtilis and related genes in other bacteria. The record is from RNAcentral. Lineage: Bacteria; Bacillati; Actinomycetota; Actinomycetes; Kitasatosporales; Streptomycetaceae.